AUAUUGCGCAAUGGGGGAAACCCUGACGCAGCAACGCCGCGUGAGUGAGGAAGGUCUUCGGAUUGUAAAACUCUUUUAUUAGGGAAAAAUGUCCUUUCGGUUAAUACCCGAGAGGAGUGAUGGUACCUAAGGAAUAAGCACCGGCUAACUUCGUGCCAGCAGCCGCGGUAAUACGAAGGGUGCAAGCGUUGUUCGGAAUCAUUGGGCGUAAAGCGCGCGCAGGCGGAUUGGCAAGUCAGAUGUGAAAUCUCGAAGCUCAACUUCGAAACUGCGUCUGAAACUGCUUGUCUAGAAUGUCGGAGGGGGCAGGGGAAUUUCACGUGUAGGGGUAAAAUCCGUAGAGAUGUGAAGGAACACCGGAGGCGAAGGCGCCUGCCUGGACGACUAUUGACGCUGAGGCGCGAAAGCGUGGGGAGCAAACAGG
Molecule: ribosomal RNA, 424 nt
Filed under: uncultured bacterium
Lineage: Bacteria
Description: bacterial SSU rRNA
Rfam family: Bacterial small subunit ribosomal RNA
Source: RNAcentral